This 789-nucleotide long non-coding RNA is filed under the name Equus caballus (horse). RNAcentral describes it as "lncRNA (ENSECAG00000057717.1)". Lineage: Eukaryota; Metazoa; Chordata; Mammalia; Perissodactyla; Equidae. The record is from RNAcentral.
AUUUGCGCAACCUGACCACAGAAACGUCACACUUCAAGCCCAGAGGCCAAAAAGCCCGGGUCAGCCAGUCAAGAAGUGGAUUUUCUUCUAAACCUGAAGCCCCAGAAUGAAACCACCCAGUUCCCGCCUCUUUUCCACCAGCUGUGUCAGAGACUCUACCAGUGGAACCUCAUCUUCAGCCUUCAUUUCCAGUGUUGGUUUUGUUUAAUAUGGCAAGGCAGGAAAAUGUUCGUGUAGGGAUCUGCCCUAGGUUAAGUUGUGCUGAAGGACGGAGGAGAGAAUUCAAGAAGCGGCGCAAACCACCACCAACAGCUCUGCAACCGAGGUGGGGCCUUCGCCAAUUAGGAUUGGAACGGUGGGGUUCAAAUAAAAAAACUGAUGUGAAAGCCCGACCUGGUCCAUCGGAACCACAUAAACGCAUUUGUUCUUUCCCUGUGGUAGAUGUUGCCCUUUGUGGGAGGGCGGAGGAGGGAGAAGCAGCUUCCAUAUUGAGCCGGUACAUUUUGUGACUGCCCCGGAGCGUCAUCACCUCCACUCCUGCCAUCCCAGUCCAAGACCUCUCCUCCUGAAUGGCCUCCCUGCUUGCACUCUUCGCUCCUAGAGUUUAUUCUCCACACAACAGCCAGAGUGAUGUUUUUAAACACAGAAAUUGUAUCUUGUCACUUUCCUGUUGAAAACUCUUCAAACGCCCCCAUCACACUUGAGAGUGGAAUUCAAACACUUUACCACGGGUCACGGGGCCCAGCAGGACCCGGCCCUGCUGACUUCCUCCCGCGGCCCACGCGGCUG